CAUCACGUGAAAAAACACCAAAUAUGACCUGGCGUAUCACGGAAACCUCCUCUCUCCUCUCUACUCUUCCUCCUCUUCUCCCUUUUCCUUCGGUUUCUUUUAUGGCAGUUUCUAGGAUCAGGGUUUCAGCUCCGUCAUGGGAAAUUCUGGUCCCAGAAUACGAGCGGGCUCUAGUCGAAUUAAUUACGCCUGCGAAAAAUCAAAGCCUUCCACCUCUCUCUCUUAACGCCUACCAAACGUUAUUAUCCUCAAGGGAAGUUCUAGUUAAUUGGGUGGUGUGAAUUAACUAAUAAUUUGGAAGAUUUGCCUGCAUUUCUUGCUUCUUGUAUCUGUCAGAUGACCUUCUUGAUUGGAGAAUAAACUACAACAAAUAUACAAGUUUCAAGAGGAAAAUAGAUGAUCAUGUGCAUGAUCUCAAAGUAUUUGCAAUGGCCAAUUACCUCUAGAUAAUUGAGUUUAAAUUGUUUGUUUUUUUGAUAGAAGAGAUAAUGCAGGAUAACACUACCCAAGAAAGCAUAUCCAACACUGAUACGCUCUGCGAUUGGAAAAUCAGGUUUGAAAAUCUUCUCCUACCAGAACUUUUAAGCUAAUCAAUGAAUUUGAUCAUAAAUAAAAUAAUCCAGCACCAACAAUAGAAAUGACGUUGUCAGUACAUUUUUUCAACACCAAGUGGCUUGUCUUUUUACCACUAGGACUCCACAUUUUUGAGUUAUUAUGUAAUUAGGAAUAAGAAGUUUCUUCUCUGAGAUGCUGGCACUUAUCUUUCAUUUUCUAUCAAAACAUUGUGGAAUAUUCUUUGGGGUGAUAAAAUGCCUGCUGUUUUCAAGCUAAUGUAGAGUUCUAUUAGAUAUACAUCAUAUGAUACCUGGGGAUUUGACUAGGUUCUCAUUGAGGUCUCUAACUUAACAUGAGACAAUUAUUAAACACUAGCGUGAAUACACUUUUCAUGGAGUUGGGAUAUUUUGAGAGUAUAAUUGGUAGAACUCUGCUCUUGAAAUUUACCAUGGUAUUCCACUGAUCUUCUGGUAUGAUUAUGGAGCUUGACGCCUCUUUAUUUUUUGGAUUAAUCUUCAUUCUUCCGUGUGUUAUUAUAUCCUUUCUGGCAUAUCUAGAUGCAGUAGUGAUUUGUGGUUCAAAGCCAAUGAAACUCCCUUAGCAGAUGGCUUGAUACAUGCUUGUGUUAUUUUUCUGAUGGUUUUAUAGACAAUCAAAUUCUCAGAGUAGUUUGUUUAGAGGCUUGGAUCUAUUCAUGGAAAGGGGAACUACUGUUUGGAAAAAGUGUCUAUGAUCUUCCUAUUUAUGAUCUCAUCAAUUUGAUUUUUUGAGUUUUAAAAAUGUAUUUCUUAGUCAUUUGGAAUUGCCGCAUGUUAUUAUAAUAAAAGUUGAUGAUUCUAGUA
Long non-coding RNA from Populus nigra (black poplar), 1397 nucleotides. RefSeq lists it as uncharacterized. The record is from RefSeq and is a predicted model, not a curated record. The transcript is spliced from 2 exons. Lineage: Eukaryota; Viridiplantae; Streptophyta; Magnoliopsida; Malpighiales; Salicaceae.